GUGAUAGGAGACCCAGGAAAACUGGGUUGGAUUCUUGAGCCAACGGAUUUUACCGGUAAUUUUACUGUCGUGUCUACGGGCGGGUGGGUUACCGGGUUUUCCCCGGAAUUGGUGGUGGACUCGGGUUACUCUCGGAGUACUCCGUUUGUCCAGUGGGUGUCCCGAGUGUGCUCGGGAUUGAGUUUGUCGGCCGUUAAAAAAAAACAUUAAGAAAUAUAGAAAAAGAAAAAAAAAAAACAAGGAAAAAAUAAAAGAAAAAUAUUUGAUCAAUUUUGACCAACAUGUAUAUGAGGCAAUAUCUCAAGACCCUGAGUUGCUUCUUCAAUCGCCUCCUUGGAGUACACAAGUUUAAGAAAACCAUCAUGCAUUAAUUAUUAAUUAUUAUUAAAAAAAAGUAAGAAUACUCUAAACGUAAAAUCCACGAAUAAUCUAAUAUUUUUACAAUGCAGCUAUGACAAGUUGUAUUCAUUUGGAUAAUUAUCUUUACAUUUUUAUUUAUUUUUGCAUGUUUCACACGUUGAAUACUAGGAGUUAUAUUAUUUUGAUUGUUAUUGGAAUCAACAAGUUGUAUUCAUCUGGAUAAUUAUCUUUACAUUUUUAUUUAUUUUUGUUUGUUUCACACAUUGAAUACUAAGAGUUGUAUUAUUUUGAUUGUUAUUAGAGCUAGGUCUGUAAAUGAAUCGAACGUUCACGAACUGUUCCUGAACUUGUUCGGCGGGAAGUUCAUUUAUGUUCGUUUAUUAAUAAACGAACGAACACGAACAAAAAUUUGUGUUCGUUUAAUUAAAUGAACGAACAUGAACACACCUUGUGUUCGUUCGUUUAUGUUCGUUUAUUUACGUUCGUUUAUGUUCGCUUAAAUUUUAGUAAAUACAUAAAUAGUUAUAUUUAUAUAAAUAUUAGGUUUUCUAACUAAUUAUAUAAAUAUAACUAACUAGUAAUUGAGUUUUCUAGUAAUAAAAAAUGAAAUUUUAAAAUUUUUCUUAUAGCGUAACUGAUCACUUAAUAUUUAUAUAAAAACUACGUAAUUUCAGUAUCUUUGAACCCUAAUUUAAAUGUGUUUUCGGAUGAACUGUAAUAUAUUAGACUUGUUUGUGUUAACUAAUGUUAAAUUAUGUUUGUUUAUAUUUGUUCAAUUUAGUUCAUUUAUGUCCGUCUAUGUUUGUUCAAUCGUGUUAAUUUAUGUUUAUUCAAAUAUGUUCGGUUAACUUUUUUGUUUAUGUUCGUAUAUGUUCGUUUAUAUUUGUGAACUGUUCAUUUCGGCUUUAAACGAACGAACAUAAACGAACACGAACAUGCCUGAUUUCUUAAUGAACGAACAUGAACAAAAAAAAUGUGUUCGAUUAUAUGUUCAUGUUCGUGUUCGGUUAAAGUUAAAUGAACGAAUACAAACAUGCCUAUGUUCGUGUUCAAUCGGUUCAUUUAUAGGCCUAAUUAGAGCAUAGUGUAGAUGAUUAUUAGUUUUGAAAAUAUAGUAGAACUUGAUAUAUUGUAACCAUUUACAAUCUGAUUAUCUAUGUAUUAUGAUUCAUUUAAUAUUUGUAAUAACGACGUCCAUUAGCGCAAUAUAGCUAAACCCAGUUAAAACGUUAAUUUUUAUAAUAAAAAAUAACAAGAAAAUACUUCUUGUUAUGAAUGUAGACAUUCAGGCCCAUAGGCCAAGCCUGACCUAAUGUUAAUGGGCUUUAGGGUUGUUGUUGUAUUGAUCUAUAUAUAUGAUAUAUGUACAUGAAAUACUGCAGAAUAAAAUCUCUUUCUUAUGUUUGCUCUCUUGUUUAUAACAUGUUAUCAACACGAUUGCUCUCUUACAUCAGUUUUUUUUAUCUCAUUCUUUUUCACAAAAUUAUCAUGGGAGAUCCUUGACAAUCUUUCGAAGAUCCUUUUUGGUUAUUGCUAGCAUUGUGAAAAAUCAAGCGAGGACCGUAGAUAAAAACCGAAGGAGAGUUACUAGGAUAGGUGAUGGUUGUAAUGGCUACGUUGCAGUCACAACUCACAAUCUCCAAAAACUAUGGCAUUUGCCCACUGUGAUAGACACCGAAUUCUUCCGUUUUUCCUUUUUAGUCGACAACCAGGAUAGUUCCACAAGAACAAUAUGGCGCCCUGGGUUAUGAUUGAUAUAUAUUACUCGCAUAGAGUUCGAUCUCAAUCCAGAUACAAGUUAUAAAGGUCGAAGAUUUCGGCAUAUUUAAGAAGUAUGUAGAUUAGAGUUGAUCAAGAGAAGCUCAAGCUAUACUGUAUGAAGACAAUGUAGACAACAACACUCAAAUCAAAGAAGACUACGGCAAAUAUCAAGUCAAGCAAUUGUCACAGAAGAUUGGAUUCAACAUCAUCAAGAUUUACAAGUAACUUUGAGGGGGAGUAAUGUACCCAUAAUAUACACAGUGUAUGUACUCUUUUUCCUUGACUAAGUUUUGUCCCACUAGGUUUUUCUUAGUAAGGUUUUAAUGAGGCACAUAACUGGUCCUGCAGUAUCAGUUAACAUCGGUCCUGAAGAAUCGUGUAAACAUUAUCUAGUAGUAUAAUGUUAACAGUAUAUGUGUAUUUCUAAAUGUCUGAGGGUGAGUGUUAUGAAUGCAGACAUUCAGGCCCAUAGGCCAAGCCUGACCUAAUGUUAAUGGGCUUUAGGGUUGUUGUUGUAUUGAUCUAUAUAUAUGAUAUAUGUACAUGAAAUACUGCAGAAU
Molecule: long non-coding RNA, 2681 nt
Filed under: Helianthus annuus (common sunflower)
Lineage: Eukaryota; Viridiplantae; Streptophyta; Magnoliopsida; Asterales; Asteraceae
Description: hypothetical non coding rna
Source: RNAcentral